GCCUCUGUAGCUCAGUUGGUUAGAGAGCUGCACCGGAAUCGCAGGGCAGUUGGUUCAAUUCCUACCAGAGGAC
RNAcentral lists this transfer RNA (73 nucleotides) under Paramuricea clavata. It matches the Rfam family "tRNA". From Rfam's summary of the family: Transfer RNA (tRNA) molecules are approximately 80 nucleotides in length. Their secondary structure includes four short double-helical elements and three loops (D, anti-codon, and T loops). Lineage: Eukaryota; Metazoa; Cnidaria; Anthozoa; Malacalcyonacea; Plexauridae. The record is from Rfam by way of RNAcentral.